AGCCUGGAAGGAUUUUUCAAAUUGGAGAACUCUAAUGUCUUGGAAGGAAAGGCAGGUGCUCUCAAAGUCCUGCCAUUCUUUUUUAAUUGUAUUGUGACAUUUAGACUAAGCAUACUUUAGAGUUGUUCCGACAGAAAGCUGUUUUGAUUUGACUGAUGUGGCUCACUGCCAGUUCCAGGUCAUUCAGUUGCCCUGUGGAACAUCACCUCUCUCUUCUGUUUCAAGCUUUGAGUAAUUUGAUUGCUAUCCAAAUGGCCCAUUUUGGUUAAUGUUUCUGAAGGUCUUCCACGGUUUAAUUCCUUAGCUUUAAAGUGUGGAUCACAAUGCUGGGUUUGCUUUUUCUCCUUGAGACCCUCGACUGUUGUUGCACUACAGAGACCAUAGAAUCUGUCAGCUCCAAGAUCACAGAAUCCAAUGGCAAAGUUGAUCAGUAUGGCAAUGGUUUUGUGACAAAAUGAAGGUCAGGAUGCUAAACUGCAAAGUGAUAAAGAACAUGGAUGCUUAAGAAAAUGCAACUUCGACCUGAUCAUAAUGUUAAUGGUGUGAAGAUCAAGGAGAGGAGAAAGGAAAACAAAGCUUUUCUUCCCAACUGAAUUAACUUGCUGCUCUCCUCAUCCAUCUGACUGCAGCUCUGUCUACGUCAAGCAUACUCAGUAUCCAGCCAAAUGUCUCUUUCUUCGCACUUACUAAGGCUUCCACAGAAAUCCCAUCCCUCAGGUCCUCCAAUCUCAAUGUUUCACUGCUGGACUGUUGAAGCAGCUGCUGAGUUCCCUGCACAAUUAAAUAGUAGUCAGAAGCUAUCCAGGUGGUCUAUCCAACAGCAGCAACUAAGAACAUGAAACAUUCCAAACUGCACCUCAAAACCGAGCCUGAAAGGUUUGGCACUUUUCUUCCUCUGUAGGUGAUCUUCCAUCUGUGCUAUAAUUAUCACUGUGUUCAGUGUCUUCAACAAAAAAAAAUCAGCAGCUACAGAAUGAAACUUGCACAACAGAAGGGGUGGAGUGGGAAACAGGCAUGACACCAGAAUCCACACUUAUGACUUCUCCCAUCACAUGAGGGCACUUUUUUGUUUGUGUAAUGUAUCUGGUCACUUGGCAGCAUGUCAGUAACAAUAUCUGCAAACUAUAGUUGGUUUAUUAACAUCCAUGUCACAUCAGUUCUAGCUGUGGCAAAUUUUCUUUGUGCAUGGAAUUUGCAUUGGUUCAGU
This 1207-nucleotide long non-coding RNA is filed under the name Lepidothrix coronata (blue-crowned manakin). RNAcentral describes it as "lncRNA (ENSLCOG00000016060.1)". The record is from RNAcentral. Lineage: Eukaryota; Metazoa; Chordata; Aves; Passeriformes; Pipridae.